Molecule: non-coding RNA, 89 nt
Organism: Mycena galericulata
Lineage: Eukaryota; Fungi; Basidiomycota; Agaricomycetes; Agaricales; Mycenaceae
Source: the annotation of a GenBank genome assembly
GCACCGGUAGUGUCAGGGACACUCCGCCUUAGAAUCAGGUUGCCGCCUUCGGUUCAGGCGGAGCUGGGGUUCGACUCCCCGCUGGUGCA